AACCACAACUGUAAUGUCAGGGGACAGAUAGUCACGGCCAGUGACGGCAGCCCAAGCGCCUCUCGCUGAGGUGCUGAGCUAGAUAAGACCCUGCGAACUGGAGGCCGAAAUACACUCUGCCUGCCCAAGCCGCUCCUGAAGCUAAGGAGCAGCUGACUCGUACAGCUAGCCGUCUUUAUCUUCUGUGGUCUCCAGGCUGCCUCAUCCCCACUCUUCCUCACCAGGCCCAGAGGACAGCAGCGGCGUCAGCGCUCCGCCCUCUCCUCUCCACGCGGUUCCGUCUCCUUGCGUAUCCGAUUCUCCACGGGAACCUCAGGAUUUCUGCACACUCUGCUGCUUUAGAGCCCUGCUCUCCGAUUCAUCACAAACAACGUGAAGACACAGACGAGUCUGGAGAGGAGACAGCUCCCCUCAUUUCACCUCUCAGAGCUCUGCGGCUUCCAGAACUGAGAUCUGAAACACAACUCUGCUGUUCACAUCUAUACAAGCACUCUGACAUCGAAAGGGGAGGCAGGGUCGCAGGCGCCCAGAGAUGGGUCUUCCAGUGCUAGUGGUGGAUUUCUGUUAACCCUUUCAAUUCUGCAAGACUAUGGGUUACUCUCUGUGUUAUAAAAAUUUACAUAAUCAGGUGCUGGAUGUUUUCAAAGUUCACCUGUCCCCAUCCUCGUCACAAAGUUUAGCUUCAUUGUAUCCUACCUUAAAUGAUCAAUUUUCUCAUGCUAAAGACUAAAAGAUUUAGGUCAGCAUAUCAUUUAACAUUAGAUGAAAAUUUUUUCCUCAUUUUUCUCUAACAACAAUAUUUAACCCAAAGAAAACUGUUUUUAAAAAAUGUAUUUAUUUAUUUGAAAGUCAGAGGUACACAGAGAGAGAAGGAGAGGGAGAGAGAGAGGUCUUCCAUCCACUGGCUCACUCCCCAAUUGGCUGCAAUGGCCGGAGCUGCGCUGAUCCAAAGCCAGGAGCCAGGAGCUUCCUCCAGGUCUCCCACGUGGGUACAGGGGCCCAAGGACUUGGGCCAUCUUCCACUGCUUUCCCAGGCUAAACUGUAGGGAGCUGGACCAGAGGUGGAGCAGCCAGGACAGAAACCCGUGCCCAGAUGGGAUGUCAGCAACCCAGGCGGCGGCUCUACCCACCACGCGUGUCUGCCCAGAAAACAGCUUUUCCACUGGCUCAUUGGCGGAGUACUGAAUCUUUUCUCCUCUGUUCCUAAUGCUCUCCAAGUGGCUCCUUAUUGAAUUAACUUCAAGUUGACCUCCACUCGAGCCAAUACGCUGUUUAUCUCACCCCAGCUCCGUCAUUCACUGUGAUAUUCUCCAGAACAGCCUGCUUGGCCCCUUGAACAUCCACCAUUUGCCCUUCUUGGAGCUCGAGGGACUCGAUGCCUCUCACCAGUGCCCCAGAUUCUGACUUCUCCUCCUCUCCUGGGAGCCUGAUUACGCCAGAGCCGGACAUUUUAACCAGUCCGCCAUGUCGCCUGCUCUCUGCAUUUCCUGUUCUGUUUCAUUUCCAUCCUCUGCUCUGGACAUAGUGAAGACAUUAAUUACAUUUGGUGGAAGCUUGGAGCCUUUCUAGCAGAGGGAAGCAUCAGCUGUGUCUUCCUUGCAGGAUUUGAUGGACUUCAGCAGGCAGAAGGGUUUUCCUUAAGUAGGGGUGUGAGUGAGGAAUAUUCCGGAAGUGGCCAGCACAGUCAUGUAAUCAGGGGGCGGGUGGGUGAGAACAUGAGUGUAACAGAGAGCAGAUAACACCAAAUUAUCAAGGCAGCUCAACAUGGAGCCCAAAGCGAUGUACAGCUGGUGUAAAAUUUGGUAACCCUGGGUAACAGGAGCCCCAGGAGCCCUUCAUGGAAGGGCCGGCAUUGUGGCCUAAUGGGUUAAAGCUGCUGCCUGCGCCACCGGAAUCCCAUGUGGGCACCGAUUCGAGUCCCAGUUGCUCCACUUCCGAUCCAGCUUCCUGCUAUGGCCUGGGAAAGCAGCAGAAGAUGGCCCAAGUGCUUGGGCCUCUGGACCCACAUCAGAGACCCAUAUGAAGCUCCGGGCUCCUAUCUUCAUCCUGGCCCAACCUUGGCUGUUGCAGCCAUCUAGAGUGAACCAGUGGAGGGAAGAAUUUUCUAACUCUUGACUUUCAAAUAAAAUAUAUAAAUAUAAAAAAAAACCA
Long non-coding RNA from Oryctolagus cuniculus (rabbit), 2151 nucleotides. Lineage: Eukaryota; Metazoa; Chordata; Mammalia; Lagomorpha; Leporidae. The record is from Ensembl.